RNAcentral lists this ribosomal RNA (301 nucleotides) under uncultured bacterium. Its description in RNAcentral is "partial 16S ribosomal RNA". It matches the Rfam family "Bacterial small subunit ribosomal RNA", at positions 509 to 807 of the family's 1533-position model. The record is from RNAcentral.
CAGCAGCCGCGGGAAUACGUAGGUGGCGAGCGUUGUCCGGAUUUAUUGGGCGUAGAGGGAGUGUAGGCGGUCUUUUAAGUCUGAUGUGAAAGCCCACGGCUCAACCGUGGAGGGUCAUUGGAAACUGGGAGACUUGAGUGCAGAAGAGGAGAGCGGAAUUCCAUGUGUAGCGGUGAAAUGCGUAGAUAUAUGGAGGAACACCAGUGGCGAAGGCGGCUUUCUGGACUGUAACUGACGCUGAGGCUCGAAAGCCAGGGGAGCGAACGGGAUUAGAUACCCGCGUAGUCCCUGUCUCUUAUAC